RNAcentral lists this unclassified non-coding RNA (234 nucleotides) under Hevea brasiliensis (rubber tree). Lineage: Eukaryota; Viridiplantae; Streptophyta; Magnoliopsida; Malpighiales; Euphorbiaceae. The record is from RNAcentral.
AGGCAUUUGGAGCUAAAAUAGUGGCUGUACCGGUGUACCCCCCUUGGAACUGAUCCUUUGCUUGAUGAAAUAACAAUGAAAUAUGGUAGUGCCACUACCAUAACAUGAAGUUUACAGGUUAUUCUGGCAUAUAACAAGCCACAAUUGUCCAAAUAAGAAAUUGCAGAGUAGAUGUAGAUUGGUGAAAUGAUUGUCAAGUUAUAAGCAAGGAAAGUUGCUUGCAUAGAAUUAUGA